GCCCUGAUAGCUCAGUGGUAGAGCAGUUGGCUGUUAACCAAAAGGCCGCAGGUUCAAGUCCUGCUCAGGGCG
Molecule: transfer RNA, 72 nt
Filed under: Candidatus Aenigmatarchaeota archaeon
Lineage: Archaea; Nanobdellati; Candidatus Aenigmatarchaeota
Description: tRNA-Asn
Rfam family: tRNA
About the family: Transfer RNA (tRNA) molecules are approximately 80 nucleotides in length. Their secondary structure includes four short double-helical elements and three loops (D, anti-codon, and T loops).
Source: RNAcentral